AGAUUCCUGAGGUGUACGCGAAUCGCUUGUUUUUACCCACAUUUUCACAAAUGGAGUCCGGGUCGGGGCGUGGAUGUCAAGCCCCCGUGGUGACACGCAAGGGGAAGGCAGAAAUGCGCCGCAGGGCACCACCCUGCCGAGCGGCGGGUGAAAAAACGGCGGUGGACGGCACUUUGGGAUUUAU
This 184-nucleotide non-coding RNA is filed under the name Oscillospiraceae bacterium. RNAcentral's name for it is "6S RNA". It matches the Rfam family "6S / SsrS RNA". From Rfam's summary of the family: E. coli 6S RNA was the first non coding RNA to be sequenced, but its function was unknown until recently. It consists of 184 nucleotides that fold into an extended hairpin structure with a large single-stranded internal bulge. The 6S RNA specifically associates with RNA polymerase holoenzyme containing the sigma70 specificity factor. Lineage: Bacteria; Bacillati; Bacillota; Clostridia; Eubacteriales; Oscillospiraceae. The record is from RNAcentral.